This 712-nucleotide ribosomal RNA is filed under the name Enterobacter sp. VTT E-96684. Its description in RNAcentral is "bacterial SSU rRNA". It matches the Rfam family "Bacterial small subunit ribosomal RNA", at positions 40 to 743 of the family's 1533-position model. Lineage: Bacteria; Pseudomonadati; Pseudomonadota; Gammaproteobacteria; Enterobacterales; Enterobacteriaceae. The record is from RNAcentral.
CGGCAGGCCUAACACAUGCAAGUCGAACGGUAGCACAGAGAGCUUGCUCUCGGGUGACGAGUGGCGGACGGGUGAGUAAUGUCUGGGAAACUGCCUGAUGGAGGGGGAUAACUACUGGAAACGGUAGCUAAUACCGCAUAAUGUCGCAAGACCAAAGAGGGGGACCUUCGGGCCUCUUGCCAUCAGAUGUGCCCAGAUGGGAUUAGCUAGUAGGUGGGGUAACGGCUCACCUAGGCGACGAUCCCUAGCUGGUCUGAGAGGAUGACCAGCCACACUGGAACUGAGACACGGUCCAGACUCCUACGGGAGGCAGCAGUGGGGAAUAUUGCACAAUGGGCGCAAGCCUGAUGCAGCCAUGCCGCGUGUAUGAAGAAGGCCUUCGGGUUGUAAAGUACUUUCAGCGGGGAGGAAGGUGUUGUGGUUAAUAACCGCAGCAAUUGACGUUACCCGCAGAAGAAGCACCGGCUAACUCCGUGCCAGCAGCCGCGGUAAUACGGAGGGUGCAAGCGUUAAUCGGAAUUACUGGGCGUAAAGCGCACGCAGGCGGUCUGUCAAGUCGGAUGUGAAAUCCCCGGGCUCAACCUGGGAACUGCAUUCGAAACUGGCAGGCUGGAGUCUUGUAGAGGGGGGUAGAAUUCCAGGUGUAGCGGUGAAAUGCGUAGAGAUCUGGAGGAAUACCGGUGGCGAAGGCGGCCCCCUGGACAAAGACUGA